UGGCAACCGGCGCACGGGUGAGUAACGCGUAUCCAACCUGCCCUUUACUAUGGGACAGCCCGUCGAAAGGCGGAUUAAUACCGUAUGUUGUCAUGUUGAUGCAUAUUUUCAUGACCAAAGGCUUCGGCCGGUAAAGGAUGGGGAUGCGUCUGAUUAGCUUGCCGGCGGGGUAACGGCCCACCGGGGCGACGAUCAGUAGGGGUUCUGAGAGGAAGGUCCCCCACAUUGGAACUGAGACACGGUCCAAACUCCUACGGAAGGCAGCAG
This 267-nucleotide ribosomal RNA is filed under the name uncultured bacterium. Its description in RNAcentral is "partial 16S ribosomal RNA". It matches the Rfam family "Bacterial small subunit ribosomal RNA", at positions 89 to 354 of the family's 1533-position model. The record is from RNAcentral.